This 507-nucleotide ribosomal RNA is filed under the name uncultured bacterium. RNAcentral describes it as "bacterial SSU rRNA". It matches the Rfam family "Bacterial small subunit ribosomal RNA", at positions 15 to 518 of the family's 1533-position model. The record is from RNAcentral.
GAUCAUGGCUCAGGAUGAACGCUAGCGGCAGGCUUAACACAUGCAAGUCGAGGGGCAACGCGAGUAGCAAUACUUGGCGGCGACCGGCGCAAGGGUGCGUAACGCGUGAGCAACAUGCCCGUAUCAGGGGGAUAAUCCAGGGAAACUUGGUCUAAUACCCCAUAGUAAUUUUGUAAGGCAUCUUAUAAGAUUUAAAGCUUUGGUGGAUACGGAUUGGCUCGCGUGACAUUAGCUGGAUGGUAAGGUAACGGCUUACCAUGGCUAUGAUGUCUAGGGGUUCUGAGAGGAAGGUCCCCACACUGGAACUGAGACACGGUCCAGACUCCUACGGGAGGCAGCAGUGAGGAAUAUUGGACAAUGGAUGGAAAUCUGAUCCAGCCAUGCCGCGUGAAGGAAGAAGGUCCUAUGGAUUGUAAACUUCUUUUGUAUGGGAGCAAUAAGGCCUACGAGUAGGUUGAUGAGAGUACCAUACGAAUAAGCACCGGCUAACUCCGUGCCAGCAGCCGC